UCAGCCCGAAUUAGGUUUAAUUGGACAAUACUAUGAAUCGCUGGGUGGAUUGCAGCACCCAUGCAGAUUACCACAGCACGCUAGUACAGUACAGACACUACAAACAACAUAUAAUGCGAGAUUGCUUACUCCUCAAAAAUUUGUCGCAUUCAAUUAUGGAGAAGAUAAUUUGAACUCGUGGACGGCUGAGAAUGGCAGACUCCUCUCAAGUACUAUGAGCACUCAUCAGUGGCCAGGGAUCGAUGACAUCCGCCACAUGACAUCCUAUCAACACAGAAUAUAUUUUAUUGGUAGAAAAAAAGAGGAAUAUCAAAUAUUUGUGGUGGACUUCAGUGAAGAUGCGACCGCGGCUGUGAAAUCUAUAAAUACUACCUUCCUCAUCCACCUUGAAUACACAUACAUGGCUGCAUGUGGGAACACAUUGCUCGUGCAUGAAAGAGGAACAAAAGAACUUCAUGUCUUCCGUAAUGACACCUGGGUGUCCACUAUCACUCUAGACGACAACCUGCAGUGGCCGAAUGGGUGUUACCAGAUGGAAUUACGACACGGUCAGUUAUUUGUGGGUGACUAUAUGGAUGAUUAUGUAACUGGUUAUCGGUACAGUGACUCACCAUCUCCAUCUAUCUCGGGGCCUAUAUGGGGACCAGUAGAAGCAUCGAUGGGAAGAUUCGUGGUCAUGUCUGAUCAUCACAUUAUAACCAGAAAGAAGACUGAUAAAGCUACUCUCCUUCUGCACACUCUGUCAGAUGAGUCCUCAGAUGAGGACAAGAGUGGAGAAGGCAACAACAAGCAGACAGUAAUCAGCACACAUGAAAUCAACAGUGAUGUGAACCUGUGGCAUCCUCUCGCAGCUAUCUCCAACACUACUGUUGUGGCCAGAGUUGAGGCUGAUUCUGGAGAUGCCGAUGAAACGAAUGUUUUGCAACUUGGACCGUGAACAAACUUAUAACUAAAAUAAAUUCAUUCUAUACCAAAUGAUAAUGAAUUAUUUUACA
This is a long non-coding RNA of Symsagittifera roscoffensis, 995 nucleotides long. RefSeq lists it as uncharacterized. The record is from RefSeq and is a predicted model, not a curated record. The transcript is spliced from 3 exons. Lineage: Eukaryota; Metazoa; Xenacoelomorpha; Acoela; Convolutidae.